GAUGAACGCUGGCGGCGUGCCUAAUACAUGCAAGUCGAGCGAACAGACGAGGAGCUUGCUCCUCUGACGUUAGCGGCGGACGGGUGAGUAACACGUGGAUAACCUACCUAUAAGACUGAGAUAACUUCGGGAAACCGGAGCUAAUACCGGAUAAUAUAUUGAACCGCAUGGUUCAUUAGUGAAAGACGGUUUUGCUGUCACUUAUAGAUGGAUCCGCGCCGCAUUAGCUAGUUGGUAAGAUAACGGCUUACCAAGGCAACGAUGCGUAGCCGACCUGAGAGGGUGAUCGGCCACACUGGAACUGAGACACGGUCCAGACUCCUACGGGAGGCAGCAGUAGGGAAUCUUCCACAAUGGGCGAAAGCCUGACGGAGCAACGCCGCGUGAGUGAUGAAGGUCUUCGGAUCGUAAAACUCUGUUAUUAGGGAAGAACAAAUGUGUAAGUAACUAUGCACGUCUUGACGGUACCUAAUCAGAAAGCAACGGCUAACUACGUG
RNAcentral lists this ribosomal RNA (497 nucleotides) under uncultured bacterium. RNAcentral's name for it is "partial 16S ribosomal RNA". It matches the Rfam family "Bacterial small subunit ribosomal RNA", at positions 28 to 507 of the family's 1533-position model. The record is from RNAcentral.